UAACACUGGGUAACCUGCCCAUCAGAGGGGGAUAACAUUCGGAAACGGAUGCUAAAACCGCAUAGGCCCUUUAACCGCAUGGUUGAAGGAGGAAAAGAGGCGCAAGCUUCUGCUGAUGGAUGGACCCGCGGUGCAUUAGCUAGUUGGUGAGGUAACGGCUCACCAAGGCCGUGAUGCAUAGCCGACCUGAGAGGGUGAUCGGCCACAUUGGGACUGAGACACGGCCCAA
RNAcentral lists this ribosomal RNA (229 nucleotides) under uncultured bacterium. RNAcentral's name for it is "partial 16S ribosomal RNA". It matches the Rfam family "Bacterial small subunit ribosomal RNA", at positions 111 to 334 of the family's 1533-position model. The record is from RNAcentral.